RNA transcript from Syngnathoides biaculeatus (alligator pipefish), 3969 nucleotides. It is a transcript of the gene named tudor domain-containing 6-like, with no coding region annotated. The transcript has 5 exons. NCBI's taxonomy places the organism in Eukaryota, Metazoa, Chordata, Actinopteri, Syngnathiformes, Syngnathidae. The record is from RefSeq and is a predicted model, not a curated record.
CCAAUCAGAGCAAUUAAAACGCAACCUGUGCGAGGCGAACGAUGGCGUUCAGACGGUUCCCGUUUUGUUCAUUUUCUUUAGUUACAGUUUCAAAAGGCCCAUCAGGUAACGUCCUUUCCAGCCCCAGGAUGUGUUCCAUUCACGGGCUCCCCACACCAGGAUCCGAAGUAAUGGUAGACAUCAGGAGGGUAAAUCCGAACCCAAACUGCGGUCUCGUGGAGCUUUGGGUUAACAUUGUCGGCACUAAGCACACUUAUGAGCCGUCGAAGGAGCGCGCACCACUUCCGAAAAAUAAGUUUUGCGGCUCUGGGGGAAAGACGGGGGAUCUGUGUCUGGUCUGCAUUGCCGACAUGUGGCACAGGGCUCGCAUCGUGUCCAUCAAAAGUGACACAUGUGAAGUCUUCCUUAUCGACCAAGGACAGCCUCAUGUCAGCACAUGGGAUGCUCUGGCAUGGGGUGAGUCUGACAGCUUCUUCCUUCCUCCUGAAAUUGAGUCCUGUAUCCUCGCCAACGUCCUUUCUCUCAAGGAGAAGUGGUCCAAAAAAGCUUCCGAGUUCUUGACGUUCCUGGCUGGAAAGACUCUGAAAGGUGUGGUCCAGCACGUCUUGAUGCCAAACAGGACUAUUCUCCUUGACAUACCCUUAGUCUCUAAGCAAAUGUGCACCAUUGGCGCUAUGAGGAAGAUCCCGGCGGAUGACUUCAAAGGAGUUGUAAUUGAAUGCCUGACUUCGCCCAAAGAAGAUUUACAAGAGGAAGACUUGUCGAAUACAGAGAAUGGAGUGCAUACUGGCAACGCUGACACUCUUCCCUCCUCUGAUCCUGGGGAUUUUAACGCCAUAGAUUGCCAACGUCUUUCUCAAAGCUUUCAUCGAGAACACGUGUUGUCUGUUGGAACUACUGUUGAUGUGACUGUAUCCUGUGUCAAAGGUCCUCAGAAAUUCUGGUGUCAGAACACUAAAAACGGAGAGUCUCUGCGGCAGCUGAUGGAAGGCCUCCAAAGCCACUACAACUCCGACCGCCCUCUGCCAAUCGUCGAGCUCGCCUGUGUCACUCGAAACCCGGAUGACGGUAUGUGGUACCGGGCGAAGAUCGUUACGAGCCGCCAUCCCCCUGAAGUAGACGUGCAGUUUUUGGAUUACGGCGGUACACGAAGGGUGCCCCUUGGAGAUGUCUUUCCAAUUGACCCUGCAUUCCUGGAGCUGGAAGCGCAGGCCUUUCAGUGUUGCCUAGUCAACUCAAAGGCGAAUUCUUCUUUGACUGCUUCUGCGUCAGCCGAGUUUCAAAGGUUCUUGACGGCAGGUGAUUCUCAACACACUGGAUUCAAAUGCGUUGUGAAAGACAGAACUUGUGAUGAAGAGGGCAGGCCGUUGCAUGUGGUAGAUCUUGAAACUGCAUCCCAAAGUCCUUGUAAUGUGCUCUCUCUUCUUCCUAUGGAUACUUAUAAUUAUUCCACAUAUGAUAUGGAAUUGGGCACAAAAGAGAAGGCGUGGGUAACUUCUUCAGAGACUGUACAUAAUUUCUUCUGCCAGCUGAACAAAAAUUCUUAUUUGUUUAACAGAGUCAUGGCAGAUAUUCACCAGCUAGUCAGGAAGUCACAGUGCUCAAGUAACCUCGUCGGAUGUCAUGCCCUUUGCCUUGCACGGUAUUCUGACAAUGAAUGGUACAGAGGAAAAGUGGUGCAGACAUCCCCAGAACUCAAGGUCCUCUUUGUGGACUAUGGCGACACCCUCGCAGUGAAUGCCUCUGAUGUUCGACUUUGGCCUGCCAGUGUAAGCGUGGCAAAGUCCAUCCCUGUACUGGCUGUUGCGCUCGGACUUUUUGGUGUUCCGGCUGAGGUGCCGCAAGAGGUCAACCAGUGGUUUGCAGACCUUUCCAUCGGUUUAAGUGUGACUGUUUCUGUGGUGGACAAAGAUGACGGGGGGAAGCUAAUGGUGGAACUAUUUGAAGGGCUGCUCAACGUCAAUGUAAUUGUCCGAGAGAAGGUAGCGCACGCGAAACGAGCAAAGACCAGCCAGGAUCCACAGGCCAACAAGGACGUCUGCUCAAAACAGGUCACCACACAAGAUGAGGACUUUUUAACUGAAGAACUCUCAUAUGUGUCAAAAUUAAAUCAAGAUAAAGAUCAAAACGGCAAGGCAGUAUGUGCUCCAGACGGGCCAUGGUUGGAGAGGCCUCCGUACCAAACUCUUACAGCUAUACCGGAGUCUGAACAUGAAAAGAUACUCAACGAGGAAAGCACACAACCUUUGAUUGUCAGUCCAAAAGUUUUGGCAGAGACCCCAGAAGACAUCCGUCCGAAUGAUGCUGAAAGGUUAGGACCUGAGAGGAACUUUGCAUAUCACACGCCAUUCAUAUCUCGCCACAAGUCUGAGGAGGUGUACGCUUCCUGCAUUGUCGGACCCAGUUACUUCUGGUGUCAGUUUGCCCACACUGAAAACCUGAAUGCUGUGUUCACACAUUCCCAGAGCAUUGGAAAGGCUCUACAGGACACUGAGAUUCCCGAGAGUUUGAAUCCCGGCACGCCGUGCCUUGCCCUCUUUCCUACUGACUCACAGUGGUAUCGCGCUCAAGUGGUUCGGAGGAACGACAGCACGGUCUGCGUCCUGUUUGUGGACUAUGGAAAUGAGUCUGAGGUGGACAUGAAAGAUUUGAGAUACCUCCCGUGUUCUCUGAUUGAAUAUCCACCUCAGGCCUUUUUGUGCUCUCUGGAUGGAUUUGAUGAGUCUAAGGGAUCCUGGGAUGAUCAGGUUUACGACAAUUUCUACAAUCUCCUGGUGGAUAAGCCCCUUGCUGUUACUGUGUUUUCAAAGUGUCCCAUUUCUUGUGCAGCUCUCUAAAGUUCAAUGGCCGUUGUUGUCAAGCGAUCGAGUGUCUUCAUCAGUCAGCGACAUCCUGAGAUUGUCUGGAAGAAAACUUUUGAACAUACAGCACUAAAGCGCUAGCUGCUGGCAUAGAACAAUUAUGUAAAUUCGGCAAGCUGAAUGGAUUCUGUACAUUACAGGACACAUGGCAUGGAGGAGAUUGAUUGACUACAGUCCCUUAGCCAAUCGGGGUGCAGAAAACUGUGGGUUUACCCUUACAGAAUCAAUGCGCAUUCAUUCACUCUUACAGCAGAUGGCAGCGUUGCUGUUAGGAUUUGUUUUUUGUGUGUGUGUAUGCCUGCACUUGUACAUGCAUUCGGUGUUGACCACAGUUGCUAUGCAACCAGCCGCGAAAGCAUGUCAGAGUUGGAUCAGGCGGCUACAGCAGAGGACUUCGAUCGGAUCCAGGAGAUUCUCAGGUACAAGAAUUGCGACCCCAAGGAAGCGAGACGUGGAGUGAGGUAACAAGACUCCUCUGCCCUGGGCUGCAAUUGAAGGAGAUGCGGAAACUGCAAGGAUUCUCAUCGAGCACGGAGCCCGGCCCUGGCUGACGACAGAGAUCGGCCCAGUAUGCGGCAGAGGCAGGUUCCUUGGCUGUCUUGAGGCUCCUUUAACGCCCCCGUGGACAAGGAGGACCGGCACGACUUGGCCAAAUCUGUGGACACCAUGAGUGUGUGGCUUUCCUCAAGAAGUAAGAUGGGGACUGACUUUUCCACCAAACUAAAUCCGGUCGUCGGGUCUCAGUCCAUGUUGUUAGGUUCUUGUAGUGCAUCGGUUCCACAAUCUGUUUUAUAAGAUAAAUGCAAUGACAGUUGGUUUGUUUGGAAUUUUAUACUUGUGACUGGAUCAUUUUGUUUCAAGUGUGCCUUCUUGUUCCAUCAAAAAUCAGUUUUUAAACAUUUUCUUUAAUUUUUUUCCAAGGUUUCCCCCACAAGAUCAUGAAACAAAUGUAAAUAUCAGACAAAGAUAACCCAAGUAAACAGUUUUUAAAUUGGGAUUUUUGUCUAUGAAAGAAAAAUAUUAAAAUGUUAGUUGGCCCUGUGUUGAAAAAGUAAUGGCACCAUUCUGACUUUGUCACUGUUUUAGUUGGAGGGGCAGCGGUGGAAGG